Molecule: long non-coding RNA, 891 nt
Organism: Chelonoidis abingdonii (Abingdon island giant tortoise)
Lineage: Eukaryota; Metazoa; Chordata; Testudines; Testudinidae
Source: RefSeq, a predicted model, not a curated record
CCCCCCACCAGCUGCAAGCACCUUCCCCCCCCAGCAAAGCGACAUGCAGCUUUCUCUUCCCUCCACGCCAGCUGGGAGCACCCCAAAACCCCGAUCCUUACCCCCUGCCCCUCAGCUACCAGCACUUCAUCUCUCCCUGCGACCUUGAUUUCCCAGCACCCCCUCCCCCAGCAUGCAGCCCGUGGCACCCCCUCCCCAGCAUAGUCCUCUUUCUCCAACCCCCGAGCUGGGAGCACACCCAGUACCUUCACCCCCAGCAGGAAAACCAUGUUCCCUCCCAGCCCAGAGCCAACUUCACUCUGCACCAGCUGGGAGCACCCUGCACCCCCGGUGCCCAUGCAGACAGCAUGCAGCUUCCUCCCCUAGCCCCCUGCAGCAGUGGGUGAUGUGGACUCAGGACUCUUCAGUUACGUGUCAUAUGCCUGACGCUGCUGAAGGUUGGGGACCCUCCUUUGGAACGUUUGGAAGCCAGGCUGUGUCUUUGGCUCCUGCGUUGUCCUUGGAAAGAGCAGGAGAGAGGCUGCUGGGCUGAAGGGACUCUGCAAAGAUGAAAGCUGGGUGAACUCUGAGGCGUCAGUACCUCUUUAAGAGCAAGGCAUGAUGGGGAAACCCUGCAAGGCAUAAAAGGGAGAGAAGGGAGUUGUGGGCUAGUUAGAGGAAUUAAUUUCGGUUAGGGCUUAUCUACACUAUGGCACUGUAGUUAUGCGCUGGAUCACCAUAAGAUAGACGCUUUCUACAGCAACAGAAGGGGCUUUUCACCUGUCUUAAUGUAGUCCACCUCCCCGAGCAGCGGGAGCUAGGUCAAUGAAAGCAUUCUUCUGUCGACGUAGCUGCAGCUACACUGGGAGUUAGGUCAGCAAAGUUAUGAGAAACUGCAGAACUGGAAUUAAU